This 219-nucleotide unclassified non-coding RNA is filed under the name Hevea brasiliensis (rubber tree). The record is from RNAcentral. Lineage: Eukaryota; Viridiplantae; Streptophyta; Magnoliopsida; Malpighiales; Euphorbiaceae.
AGAAGGCAGGCACAGUCUCAGACAAACUCCUAGAUGGCCUUUUAUAGUACAUUACAUUGGUUUUGGCCAAAAACAAAAACUAGGGUUCUGCCUGCUAUAAGCUAAUGUUGCGAAUGAGCAGAUAAACUGUCCUCGUCUGAUGAACUAUGCUGCCAUUUUGCUGUUAACCAGCUAAUGGUAGGCUGUAGAUUUGGAUUUACUGGAACUGGAAACUUGUGG